RNAcentral lists this long non-coding RNA (3855 nucleotides) under Nicotiana benthamiana. RNAcentral's name for it is "long non-coding RNA (NBEN_LNC010782)". The record is from RNAcentral. Lineage: Eukaryota; Viridiplantae; Streptophyta; Magnoliopsida; Solanales; Solanaceae.
CCAAACAUUUCCCCAGCUCCAAAUAAUCUACCUCAGUAUCAUCCUCCGAACAAUGUCUGGUCAUCUGUCCAACCACUAGGCCACUCCCUAUGUUGAGCACCAGCACCGCAUUAUGCAUUAUUGCCUUCACAACAUUCUCAAGCAUCUAACAACCCAAGAAAUCAGGGACAGGGAAGAGAGCAAAGGAAAAGAAGUAGUUUCACGUAAAUUGGGGAGUCCUACGCAAGAUAAUUUGAAAAGUUAAAGCAUUCUGGCCUGAUUGAGACGCUCCUUGGCUAUACUCCAGACCAUAUGCAGUAGGAUUUGAUCCUACUAUACGACGCAUGUACCACUCUAAUGUCGAAGGGAACAACAUUGAAGAUUGUCGUUCUUUGAAAAGGGAAAUAGAAAGAAUGAUUGAAGAAGGGAUUAUUAUGGUGUAUGACAGUGACAGGGAGCACGCGGAUCCUCUUGGAAACUUGUUGAUUGAAGUUGAUGAUAUUGAAGUUGGUAAUGGUCUUGGAAAUAUUGAUGUAGAACUCAGUGGCUAAGAUGCCGAGCUUGGUAAUUGGGAAAGACACUUCAUCUCUUGGCUAGCUCGAGCAAAGUCUUGGUGGUUCGUUUUGUUGUCAUUUCUAUUUUUCGGGUUAUUUUUAGGGCCGUAAUCCGGAUAUUGUCUUGUGAUCAAACCCUCUUAUCCUUUCAUUUUUGUCUAGCUUAUUUAGUCGUAGUCGUCUGUCUAGUGUUUUCCAAGUGUGUGUUAUUUGUUCUGCUUGUUUUGUUGUGCGACCUGUUUCACCAUUUGUCUAAUGAAAAUUUUGGUUUUUUGUUACCUACAGUCAUCUUCUUUAGUUCUUCUUUAUCAUUUUGUUUUGUCUUUUGUUUCGUGCUAGUUCUAGUGACAUGACAUGCAUUCAAAUUUCUUAGUCUAAUAUUUAAAAUUCAGUUUACUCAGGAAGCAAUGAAAUCAUUUUUGAAACUAAGAACAUAUGUGGAAAUUUUAAGAUUAUUUGAUGCCCGAACCAUGUGAAACUGGGGCAAGUAAAACAUGAAGAAACCGUAACCGCAAGUUAGCCAAAUUCGUAGGGGGCUGUUCGUGGUAAUGAGAGUGAGAGUGUUGUCCAAUGUCACUUUGUAGUUCACUGAUGGAGAAGACGAAUGAAUGGAUAUGGUUGUUUAAUUUUGCAAUUUCCACUUGGCAUGUUUUGGAUAUUGGAAUGACGAAGGCAUUUUGUUCUGCUAUCUAAACAUUUUAUCCCUUGUCAUCCCUUUUGAGCCUUAUUUAGUUUCUUUCAUACCCCUCUUUCAGAAUCAGUGGCACAACUAAGAAAUGCAAGUGCCGAAAAUGAGUACAUAAAAAGAAAAGAAGAAGAAUACAAAAGAGGAAGAAAAGAAAAGAAAAAAGAAAAGAAAAGAAAAGAAGAGGAAAGAAAAGAAAAAGAAAGGAAAAAUGAAAGAGAAAAAGAAAGAAAGAAGAAAGAAGAAAGAAAAGAAAAGAAAAAUCACAACAACAAAGUAAUUCCUAUGAAGUGAACUACGUUUGACUUGAUCCCGAAAGGGUACGUAGGCAGCCUCACUGAGAUUCAGUCAUACCAAAAUAAGUCCAAAAAUUCCCAAGCAAGAAACCGGGGCAGAAGUUGUGGUUGUUUUGAGAAAUUGGAUCCCUAAAGUAGUAAUUUUAACCCAUUUAAAUUUAAUUUUUCAGCCUUUUAUACCCUUUUUUUCGAACCCUGCCCAAAGGCCACAUUACAGUCCAAAAAAAGACCUUUUGAUCAGUCUGCGAGAAAUGCCAGGUCAAGCAAAUAAAGAUGAUUCAUGUCAGGGGAAACACUCUGAUCCAAACAAGGAAAAUGAAAAUGAGCGAGCCAGAUUGAUGAAAACCCUCAUGGGUACCGCAAGGUGAUGAAAGAUGAGAGAAAGAGGCUUGAUGGUGAAAACCCUUUGGGCACUACAAGUCAAAUAAGGAUUGCGAAGCAGAUUGGAUAAUCAGAGUAUUAAAGCCCAGUUUCACGGCUAAAAGGUACAACAAGACCUGAACAUUAGAUGUGCUUAACAGAAUAGGCCGCAAGUGCAUGUCAAGGUCAUUAGAGUUGGUAUCCACAUCCGAUAGGCUUCUACUUUGUAGUUUUUCUUGUUUGGAAUCAUCUCUUUCCAUUGUCCUUUACUCUGUUCCUCUUGUCUUGGUUACUUACUCUUCCUGAGUCUGUUUGGUCAAAACAAGUGAGAAAUGACUUCAAAAUGUGCCACCAGCUUCCUAAUUGCACAACAAGAUCUGGCUAGUACAUCAAAGUGUCAUAAGUCAAGAAAGAGCGACAAACGCACUGAGUUGGUAACAAAUAACAUGCUUUGGGAUUCGUGUAUAGUACAAAGGCUUGGUAUAUAUCAAUUUGUGAAAAACGCAACAGAUGGAGGGUUAGAGUGAAUGAAUCAAUAUGCUUUGGGGAUCAUGUGAAACUUAACGGUUUGUCAGAUGUCAGUUCAUGAGUAAUCCAAUAGAUAGAGGAUAUUGGGUUUGAACGAAGAAGAGGUCUUUUUGUGAUAAGGGUGAUAGAGAAAGAGGUUAGUCAAGGAACAAGAAAGGUCUUUCAAGGUGAAAUCAAAUUAUCAUGGAAAGUGAAGGAGCAACGCCACAAAAGUCAAGGCCACAAACCAACCAUAAUGUUUAAACUUACAAGUUUUCUUUGUCUGAAACAAGGAUGGAAGCUAUGUCCAUAUCAAAUCUUGGAAGGUUGAAAUUUUCAUGUGUAAUGCCCCAAUUCUGCUUACGCAAAGGCUAUUCAGAAAAUCACACAUCACCACUAGGAGAAGCACUUCCUAGUCUAGUUUCUCAAGUUAUAUUUUGUUGUAGGAGACACACUUCUUAAACUGAGAUUUUACCCUUAGGAGAUGCACUUCCUAGUUUGGAUCAUAUAAGUUUGAGUCACUGAAUGUUUUACCCCUAGGAGAUGCACUUCCUAGUCUAAGUUUUUCAAAUUAUAUUUUUUCUUAGGAGACGCACUUCCUAAAUUGAGAGUUCGAACUAGGAGACGUACUUCCUAGUCCGAUUAUUGAAGUUUUAUGUGUAGGAAACGCACUUCCUGAAUUGAGAUUUCACCCCCUAGGAGACGCAAUUCCUAGUCUGAUUCAAUGAAGUUUUACGUGUAGGAGACGCACUUCCUAAUAAAGGUCUUUCAAGUUACUCUUUUAGGAGACGCACUUCCUAAAUUGAGAGUUCAUUCAUAGGAGAGGCACUUCCUAAAUUGAGAGUUCAUUCAUAUGAGACGCACUUCCUAGUUUGAAUCAUGAAGUUUUCACCCAUAGGAGACGCAUUUCCUAAAUUGAUAGUUCAUUCAUAGGAGACACACAUUCUAGUUUGAGUCAUUGAGAUUUUACCAUAGGAGAUGCACUUCCUAAAUGAUAGUUCAUUCAUAGGAGACACACUUCCUAAAUUGACAGUUCGAUUAUAGGAGACGCACUUCCUUAAUUGAAAGUUCAUUUGCAGGAGACGCACUUCCUAGUUUGAGUCAUUGAGUUUUACCCAUAGGAGACACACUUCCUAGUUUGAGUCAUUGAGUUUUACCCAUAAGAGACGCACUUCCUAUUGAGUUACACCCAUAGGAGACGCACUUUCUAAAUUGAUAAUUCAUUCAUAGGAGAUGCACUUCCUAGUUUAAAUCAUUAAAAUUUCACCCCUAGGAGACGCACUUCCUGGUCUGGUUCAUUGAAGCUUUACCCAUAGGAGAUGCACUUCAUAAAUUGAGAAGUUCAUUAGUAGGAGACGCACUUCCUAAACUGAGAUUUUACCCAUAGGAAACGCACUUCCUAUUUUCAAUCAUUGAAGUUUCACCCCUAGGAGAUGCACUUACUAGUCUGGUUCAUUGAAGUUUUACCGGUAGG